This 81-nucleotide ribosomal RNA is filed under the name Sporosarcina sp. P26b. RNAcentral describes it as "partial 16S ribosomal RNA". It matches the Rfam family "Bacterial small subunit ribosomal RNA", at positions 1 to 79 of the family's 1533-position model. Lineage: Bacteria; Bacillati; Bacillota; Bacilli; Caryophanales; Caryophanaceae. RNAcentral also lists the same sequence under 1 other name. The record is from RNAcentral.
CUCUUAUGGAGAGUUUGAUCCUGGCUCAGGACGAACGCUGGCGGCAUGCCUAAUACAUGCAAGUCGAGCGAACUGUUGGAA